AGUGAACGCUGGCGGCAUGCCUAACACAUGCAAGUCGAACGGCAGCAUAGUAUGAGCUUCUUGGUACGGGGCGCGAGUCGCAGGCGUGUGUGGUGUACCUCAACGUGUCCUUUUUCGGGGGGUAUCGUGGAGAGAGACAUGCUCUUAUAGCACAUUCUACGUGCGGGUGAGAGCAGGAGAUCUUCGCACUUCGCGCGAAUGACUGCGCCGAUGUCGGAUUAGCUAGUUGGCGGGGUAAAGGCCCACCAAGGCGACGAUCCGUAGCGGGUCUGAGAGGAUGAUCAGCCACACUGGAACUGAGACACGGUCCAGACUCCUACGGGAGGCAGCAGUGGGGAAUUUUGGACAAUGGGCGCAAGCCUGAUCCAGCCAUGCCGCGUGAGUGAAGAAGGCCUUCGGGUUGUAAAGCCCUUUUGUCGGGGAAGAAAAGCAGCCGGCUAAUACAGCGCUGUUAUGACGGUACCCACAUAAGAAGCACCGGCUAACUUCGUG
Molecule: ribosomal RNA, 492 nt
Filed under: uncultured bacterium
Lineage: Bacteria
Description: partial 16S ribosomal RNA
Rfam family: Bacterial small subunit ribosomal RNA
Source: RNAcentral